Prosopis cineraria is the source of this 883-nucleotide long non-coding RNA. RefSeq lists it as uncharacterized. Lineage: Eukaryota; Viridiplantae; Streptophyta; Magnoliopsida; Fabales; Fabaceae. The transcript has 3 exons. The record is from RefSeq and is a predicted model, not a curated record.
GGAGCGAGAAGAAUCUAGAAUUUGGAUGAUUGACGCUCCUCGUUUCUCUGUCAUCACUGACUCAUCUCUGCCUUCUUCAUUCCUUACCAUUACCGUUGUCUAAGGAGGCUCAUGGUUGCUCUCAAAUAUUCAUGUUCAUCGUCACACCUCCCAUCUCUAUUUUUUUUACUUUCCUUCGUCCGCUGCUCUCCUUGUGUCAUUCGCGUCUGAGUUGUGGCUAGGAUGAGGGUCGAAGUCGUUGAAGCUGGAAGGUUCUACUUGCAAGUCCUUUUCCCCCCAUUUCAUCUGUAAACUUCAUCAUCUUCGUCAUCGUUCCAUAUUCCCUGUGUCUGUUAUUUCUUUGUCUGCUAUGCUGUCCGUGUGGUUCUGGGAUAAGAGGUCACAAAGCAUCGCAGCUGAUGGGUUGUUGCUGUGAACUUGUAUUGGUGCUGUUGAAACUAGUCUUCCUUCCUUUUCUGUGCGUGGUGAUAGUGCUGUUUUCCUCUCCCCUGUUCAGCGUUCAAGAAUCUCUUCUCCUCCUCUGUCGGUCUGCCACCGUUCAAGCUAGCUAAAUCGAGAUUCUAGUGUGUGAUGUGCAAGUAUGCGAAAAGAGAUUCAAAUAAGGAAAUUACAUAGGCAAACCUUUCUAUCAGACAGAAGGGUUGAGGUUUUGGCAUUAGUAGUUCAAAGGGGAAAGACAUAGGCUGAGUUGAUAUUUCUCGCCUAAGCUUUAUAAGAAUUGGUGUAAUGCCUUUGUAAAUUAUUAAUUAUGAAUAUGUAUAAGUUUCCUUAGGAAUCAAAAUAUGUGUAUAAUGUGUUGAAUAUGGUGUUUUGGUGAUUUUGAACUCCCUAACCCUUUGUAUAUGUGUGUAUAGUCAAAUGAUAGAAUGGGCUAGUAGAUGAA